Molecule: ribosomal RNA, 514 nt
Filed under: uncultured bacterium
Lineage: Bacteria
Description: bacterial SSU rRNA
Rfam family: Bacterial small subunit ribosomal RNA
Source: RNAcentral
GAUUAUGGCUCAGGAUGAACGCUAGCUACAGGCUUAACACAUGCAAGUCGAGGGGCAGCAUGUUGGUUGCUUGCAACCAAUGAUGGCGACCGGCGCACGGGUGAGUAACGCGUAUCCAACCUUCCCUAGGUAGAGGAUAGCCCGGCGAAAGUCGGAUUAAUACUCUAUGUUCUUCAAUGCGGGCAUCUAAGUUGAAGCAAAGAUUUAUCGCUAAGGGAUGGGGAUGCGUCUGAUUAGGUUGCAGGCGGGGUAACGGCCCACCUGGCCUACGAUCAGUAGGGGUUCUGAGAGGAAGGUCCCCCACACUGGUACUGAGACACGGACCAGACUCCUACGGGAGGCAGCAGUGAGGAAUAUUGGUCAAUGGGCGCGAGCCUGAACCAGCCAAGUAGCGUGCCAGGACGACUGCCCUAUGGGUUGUAAACUGCUUUUAUCAGGGAAUAAAGUGAGGCACGCGUGCCUUUUUGUAUGUACCUGAUGAAUAAGGACCGGCUAAUUCCGUGCCAGCCGCCGC